Long non-coding RNA from Ailuropoda melanoleuca (giant panda), 4149 nucleotides. RefSeq lists it as uncharacterized. NCBI's taxonomy places the organism in Eukaryota, Metazoa, Chordata, Mammalia, Carnivora, Ursidae. The transcript has 2 exons. The record is from RefSeq and is a predicted model, not a curated record.
AUAUCUUUAUUUUACCUUGAUUCUUCAAAUACUGUAUGUUUUUUCCAGGUUUAGAAUUCUAGGUUGCCAGUAAUUCCUUUCAGCCCAUGAAGCCACCAUUCUGGUUUUCCGGCCUCCACUGAUCCUGUGAAGCCAGCAGUGUCACUCCUGUAGAGAAUAUUUAUAAACAUAUGGAAAAAUGAGCACAUGGCAUGGAAGGUUCCUGUAUACCCCGGACCCAACUUCCCCUAACUUUAACAUUUCACAAUAAUAUGGUACGUUCGUCACAGUACUUGCACAUUAUUAUAAACCAGUAUUUAUAUGUUGUUAACAACUAAAGUUCAUAGUUCAUUCAGACUUCUUUGGUUUUGGCCUCUCUCUGUUCCAGGAUCCCAUCCAGGAUCCCAUAUUACAUUUCGUUGCCAUGCGUCCUUAGACUCCUUGUGGCUGUGAUAGUUUCUCAGAUUUUCCUUGUUUUCGAUGACCUCUGCAGUUUUAAGGAGGACCGGUCAGGUAUUUGGAGGAUGUCUUUGGGAUUUGUCAGAUGUCUUCUCUUUGAUUAGACUGACAUUAUGUGCUUUGGGGAGGAAGACCACAGGUAAAAUGCUACUCUCAUCACUUCAUAUCAAGGGUACAUGCUCUCAAAAUGACCUCAUUUGGCUGAGGUAGUGUCUGCAGGUUUCUCCACUGUGGGUAACUUUCCCCAACCACACUGCCAUGUACUCUAGGGGAGGGGGUCACUGGGCACCGCUGCUACUUACGGAACGGGAGUCAUGGUUCACGUCCAUGAGGACAGAGUUAUCUACAGAAAUUACUUGGAUUUCUUCUGCAUGGGAGAUUUCUAGUCUCUCCUAUUUAUAUCAGGAUAGACUCAUGGAUAUUUAAACUUUGGAUUAUAAGCCAGUACACCAUUAUUUUGUGCUUAAAUUUAGUUUUGGCCAUUCAGAGCCUUUUCGUUUGGCUCCUCUGUCCCUUUGACAUAACCCCAUCUUUGAUCAUUGGCUUUUUGUUUAAGCGCUUCUGUACUUCAUGACACUAGUGUUCUCCAGGCAUGUGUUGUACAUUUUCUGCCCUGGCCCUGGAAUCUGCCAUUUCUCUAAGAUUUGAUUCCUUUCAUUGGAGAAUGGUUACGAGAAACCUGAAACUAAGUAUGCUCAUUGCUACUGCAGUGUCCUUGCUUCCUGGCCCCCUCAGUUGAUGGUGCAAGGAAGUACUCAGACACAUACACCUAACUAGAAAUAUUUUUUUUUAAAGAUUUUAUUUAUAUUUUGACAGCACAAGCAGGGGGAGCGGCAGAGGGAGAGGGAGAAGCAGACUCCCCAGCUGAGCAGGGAGCCUGAUACGGGGCUCGAUCCCAGGACCCUGGGAUCAUGACCUGAGCUGAAGGCAGCCACUUAACCGAGCCACCCAGGGGCCCCUAGAAAUAUUUCUGUAUAGGAUCAUCUGUAUCAGUAUUAAAUGAAAUAUUAAUUUAUGCUGUUACCUCCAACUGUAAUUCAUUAUGUGAGUCAUUCUAGCCUUCUCCCCUUGCUUAUCUGUAACCUCCUGCUUCAACAGUGAGAAUACUGGCUCCCACCAUCCGCCAUCUGUAUCACAGUAUCAUCAGUUACUCUGUGACCAUCAUUACUGGCAAACUGUUAACUUCCUCCUGUUUUUAAAAGAUGAAUGAUAGAAUAUUGUACAAACUGUCCUGCACUUGAAUGUUUCACUGGCAGACAUCAUCGACUGGGUAUCAUUCCUUGCUGGUUCACACAGAUCGACCUUGUGUUUUUUGAAGGCUGCAUAACGUUCCAUGGUAUUAAUGUCCUUAUUCAACAUCUUUCCUAUUGAUGGGCAUCUGGACUAUUUCCAAUUUUUUGUACAUAGUCCUACAGCAGGAUUAUGUUGCUUCUGUGAACAUGUGGGAGGUUUUCACUCAAGGGAAGUGCUUGAUCAAAGGGUGUGGAUAUUUAAACACCUCAGUGAUUUGUCCAGUUGCCCUCCAAAGCCUGGGCCAGUUGAUAUGCUCACCAUCAGCAUGAAUAUAGUUUUCUGAUGCCAGCUGCAAGGCAGAGAUCAGUACCCGUCAACCUGUGGUUUUUGCCAAUCAUGUGAAGGGAAUUUGCUUGUUGUCAUAGGCACAGCAAAUGCCUAUGACAGACUAACUCUAGAAAGGUAUAUUUUGGUCCAAAUUUUUAACUUUUUACAGUCAAUUUAUCCCUUUUCUCCUGGGAUUUUGUGUCCUGCUUGGAAAGCCUUGUCAUCUUCCAUGUUCUUAGUACUUUUAUGGUUUUCUUAAAAAACCCCAGACAUGUAAAUAGGCAUAACGAACACCCGCAUAUCUAACACUUUUUUUUUUUUUUCCAGAUUUUGAACUUUGUAUACACCACACUUAGUUUCCACUGUGCGGAGGGAUUUCUGUCGAUAUCUGCAGUUCUAGUUUACUCAUUUUCACUGCUGCCGAGUCCUCUAAACCCGUCUCAAAGGCACGUACCUGUUUCCCUGCUGCUGUUGGUCACUUCGGUGGUUCUGAUGCUUUUAUACACAUGCUGGUGUGACUCUUCCAGGACGCGUAAGGACUCUCUAAGGUGGUGCAGGAGUGGGCCCGCCAGGCCGCACGGUGAGGGCGUGCAGAGAGCUGCCAGAGCACUUGUUCUGAGGCGUAGAGGGUGGUUCUCCACCUCCUUGGUGUCACACGGCCCCUUUGUCAGCUGCCGGGCAUGAAUGCUGUCUCACAGGGAAUUGGCUGGUGGGGCUGUACAUCUAUUGUUUAGAAGCCAUUCACGUAUUCUUUCAUCUGGGUCAUUUAGCGCUUUUCCUUUUAGGGGUAUAGUUUCAUUUUUCAAAAAAUUUUUUUGAUGCAUUUGCAACUGAUUCGGUAUAAGGGGGAUACAGCUGUUUUUUUCGAUGACCAACAACAUAGCCAAUAUCCUGACUUUCACCUACUAAAAUGAAAUGCCACCUUUCUCACACUGUGCAUUUAACCUGGAGCUUUGUAUCUGAGGGGUUUGCUACACUUCCUUGCUAUUCUUUUUCUUUGUUCUUGUUUGACUAAAAUGUCUGCUGGUAUUUUAUCAUUAAUAUAUGAAUUACAUAUUACCUCAAGAUGUUGAUUCUCCCUGAAUUAUUAAACUUCCCUAAGAACAAGAUAUUAUCGAUCUAAUAAGACUCCUAGGGCUUUUUGUUCCCUUGUAGGCAUUGUCCCUUCUGUUGCCUGACUGCAGACUGUCGACAGUGCUGAGUAGUGGGCUCUAGUGUACGGGGAGUGGAAUUCUGGUUGUAUCAAUACUUCUGGUUUUUCAGUAGGUUAUAAAAUGGGAAUUAUGGAUACUGCUUUUUUCAUGUCAAGAAUGGAUGUUAGUUUAUCAAAUAUUUUUCCAUCUCGUAGUCACUAGGACUUGUGUUUUGUUAUUAGGUUUAUAGAAUCAUUUAUCCUUGCCUUUUUUUUUUUUAAUGAUAAAACAGUCAGGAUAUUUGGAAAAUAGGGAAAUCCCUCACCCCAAACCCAUGCCUGGUAAAUAAGCACUAAAUAACCAUCAAACGGCUGAAUUCUGCUACCUGCUGCAGCCACUCCAGUUCACUCUUACCUAUUCACAGUAGGAGUGUAGAAUUUUACAUUUUCUGUCUGAACAGUAUGAGAAGCAUCUCUCCAUUGGUACAACCUCCAAGCUACUGACAACUUAUAAAAUCAUCUGAUUAUCUCUGAAAACCCAAUGACAAGACACUCAGCUUUCCCCGUACUUGAGUCAUGUGACACACGAACAGACCUCCUCCCCAGAAAGUCAAGUCUAAGACCUUCCCCACCGGAAGGUAAAAACCCUUCAGGGUGCAAGGCUGGAGGCCCUCAGUGCCCAUCACCCAGCCCUCCCACUGGAGAACAGUCAUCACCACACUGUGAACUUAUCGUAGAAUAGAUUUAUUUACCUGAAACCAUGUCUGUGCAAUGCUUGUUACCAGCACAGAAAUAGACAACUGAUCUCUAUUUACAGUCUAAAGUCAAACAUGCGUUGUGAUAAAUUGACGUUUAGCAUUUUAUUAAGAUAAAUGCAUCACAAUAUUCAUACUGCACCAACAUCUGUCCACUGCUUCUGAUUUCAUUAAAUAAGUUACAUUUAAUACAGUGCAAAAUAGCUGCACACUCAAAAAAAUAACUGAAGUUAUGAACUGGAGGCCUACAUUCUAACCUUUCAA